AGUGAACGCUGGCGGUAGGCCUAACACAUGCAAGUCGAACGGCAGCACAGUAAGAGCUUGCUCUUACGGGUGGCGAGUGGCGGACGGGUGAGGAAUACAUCGGAAUCUACUUUUUCGUGGGGGAUAACGUAGGGAAACUUACGCUAAUACCGCAUACGACCUACGGGUGAAAGCAGGGGAUCUUCGGACCUUGCGCGAUUGAAUGAGCCGAUGUCGGAUUAGCUAGUUGGCGGGGUAAAGGCCCACCAAGGCGACGAUCCGUAGCUGGUCUGAGAGGAUGAUCAGCCACACUGGAACUAAGACACGGUCCAGACUCCUACGGGAGGCAGCAGUGGGGAAUAUUGGACAAUGGGCGCAAGCCUGAUCCAGCCAUACCGCGUGGGUGAAGAAGGCCUUCGGGUUGUAAAGCCCUUUUGUUGGGAAAGAAAAGCAGCAGGUUAAUACCCCGCUGUUCUGACGGUACCCAAAGAAUAAGCACCGGCUAACUUC
RNAcentral lists this ribosomal RNA (489 nucleotides) under uncultured bacterium. Its description in RNAcentral is "partial 16S ribosomal RNA". It matches the Rfam family "Bacterial small subunit ribosomal RNA", at positions 29 to 504 of the family's 1533-position model. The record is from RNAcentral.